GAGCCGCGAGGCGCUGGACGCGCUGACCGGGAUUCUCGGUCUCGGUGGGGACUACUACCCCUUCCAGUGGGGCUAGGCUUGC
Molecule: transfer RNA, 82 nt
Filed under: Maricaulis virginensis
Lineage: Bacteria; Pseudomonadati; Pseudomonadota; Alphaproteobacteria; Maricaulales; Maricaulaceae
Description: tRNA-Glu
Source: RNAcentral